AUUGAACGCUGGCAGAAUGCUCUACACAUGCAAGUCGAGCGGCGGCGCGGGGGCAACCCUGGCGGCGAGCGGCGAACGGGUGAGUAACAUAUCGGAACGUACCCUGUCGUGGGGGAUAACACAGCGAAAGCUGUGCUAAUACCGCAUACGACCUGAGGGUGAAAGCGGGGGAUCGCAAGACCUCGCGCGAUAGGAGCGGCCGAUAUCGGAUUAGCUUGUUGGUGAGGUAAAGGCUCACCAAGGCGACGAUCCGUAGCUGGUCUGAGAGGACGACCAGCCACACUGGAACUGAGACACGGUCCAGACUCCUACGGGAGGCAGCAGUGGGGAAUUUUGGACAAUGGGGGCAACCCUGAUCCAGCCAUUCCGCGUGAGUGAAGAAGGCCUUCGGGUUGUAAAGCUCUUUCGGCAGGAACGAAACGGCAGGCUCUAACAUAGUCUGUCAAUGACGGUACCUGAAGAAGAAGCACCGGCUAACUACGUGCCAGCCGCCGCCGUAA
This 500-nucleotide ribosomal RNA is filed under the name uncultured bacterium. Its description in RNAcentral is "partial 16S ribosomal RNA". It matches the Rfam family "Bacterial small subunit ribosomal RNA", at positions 29 to 523 of the family's 1533-position model. The record is from RNAcentral.